Long non-coding RNA from Ostrea edulis (European flat oyster), 3645 nucleotides. RefSeq lists it as uncharacterized. The record is from RefSeq and is a predicted model, not a curated record. Lineage: Eukaryota; Metazoa; Mollusca; Bivalvia; Ostreida; Ostreidae. The transcript is spliced from 2 exons.
CUUAACAUCAUCAAAGCAUCGUGGAUUAGGGUAGAAAGUACCUCAGGAUUGGAAGGAUAGUGUCAAUAUUUAAAAAUGGCGACAUGAGAUUGCGGUAACUACAGGGACAUCUCACUCUUCUCCAUACCGGGGGUGGGGUGUUCAAUCGUAUACUGCUGAUUAGAAUAAUAAAAUACGCACAAUAUUUUCUCCCCAAAGCUCAUUGCAGACUUCGUGCUGGUCGAGGAACAGUUGAUAUGAUUUUCUAUCUUAGCAGAAUCAGGAGAAAUGUCUCGAACAAAAUAUGUCCUUAUUUGUGGUCAUUGUCGUUUUCCAUGACAUUUGCCAAACUUACCAGAGCUACUAGAGGUGGGAAAUGGUGAAAUAUGUCGGUUACCCGGAGCACUUUAGAAGCUUGUUUCCGCACUUCACGCUGACAUGCGUAGCUCCGUCAUAUACAAAGUAGACCUGCCAGACAACUUAGAAGUUAAAACUGUUAAACAAGGCUACAUAUUGGCUCCAAUGCUAUUCUUCAUUUCUCCAACGUCCUGACGCAUGCUUACGAAAAGCAAAACCGCGUUAUCCUCAUUCAAAACUGUCCUGGAGGAGCUGAUCUUUUUAAUGUGAACCAAUUCAAGUAUAAGUCAAAGAUCAUACAAGUCUUGUCCAUGAACUCAUAUUUGCUAACGAUAUUGCGUUUGAACCUUGCAGAUGCAAGGAAGUCAAAGACAUCAUUACCAGAUUUUUUUUUCUCUCGGCCAAAGGAUUUGGGCUCAAAAUCAACAUAAGGAAUUCAGAAAUGCUUUGUCAACCAGUUAUCUGUGAAGAUAAGCAGAUUGAAAGACAAAGCCUUGUGAAAGUAAAAGAUCUCGGUAAAACUUUCAUCUAACAACAAGCUUGAUAUGCCAAGUUUAGCCUCGACCUGGAGUUCGAACCGCUACCCCGGGGAUCAUGAAAUUUACAAAUUUGGUAAAGGCCCUCCUGUUCUACAUGUUCAACAAUUUUAAACAUUUGUCAUGUUUUGCUCCCCGCAUAAGGCCGUGGAGGUACAGAAGUCCUGAAAUUUACAAUAUAGGUUCCCCUUGUCCCAAAGUUUCAUGCCAAUUUUGAAGUGAAAUGGAGGGUAGUUAUCUAUGGCAUGUCAAACGAUGAAAUAUUUUAUCUUGUUCAUUUGCAUUGUAUAAUUUUCCAUUUGUAUUCUAUAUUUUCCAUUUGUAUUGUAUAAUUUUCCAUUUGCAUUCUAUAUUUUCCAUUUGCAAAUUUGAAAAGAAUUGGAAUGGUAGGUAUCAAGGAGUUAAAAAUGUUAAUUGUUAACGCCCACAACGGAUGAUGACCAAUUUAGCAAUAAAUCUGACUCGGGUGACUUAAAAACGGGCCAGGUGAAGGAAACAAAUACGCUGCGUACCGUGCAGUGGUACUCUCCAGUUUGCUACAAUGCUUAGAAGCUUAGACUAUCUGUAAGGUCACUGCGCACAAAGUAAAUACAUACAUGUACAUGUUUCGUCGACUCCAACAGAUAAUGAAUGCAUCAAGUAGUGGCGACGAAUCUUCAAUACCCAACAGAAAAACCCUAGCACUUGCAAACCACCUGAGCUUGUACGAGAUUCGGGUGCAGAGAAACCUAAGCUGGGCGGGACGUGUGGAUAGACAGGAAAAUACCCAUCUUCAUCCUGUUCAACGGCACUCAAAGCACCGAUCAUCCAAUAUUCUAUUACUACGUCACAAAGACACACUCAAGCAUAUAGUGUCAAGGGCGUGCGUUCCGGAAGCUGGCGGAUAGUAAGCAAAGACAGACCGAAAUGGAGUGGAAUUAUCAUGAUUUUGCUUUAGUUAUGCAACGGAAGACUCCUGUACUUGGUGUAAAGGAAUAGGUAUGUCAUUGAGACAAAUUGGCUAUCGUGUAAGACGACACGUGAGGCCACCUUUGCUUUUACCCAGCCACAAAACAGCAGGUACGCAAUGGCUCACCAACGUUGGAACCUAACCUCUCGGAGGAAAGGCCAUUGGUCGAACGAAGAGUCGCUUUUUGCUACAUAUCACAGAUGGGGCGCACUUGUUUCAUCACCCGGGUCAAGCUGGUUGAUACUUCCAGAAGCGGGUAAGUAAUUUUUAAGCCGCUGGUCGACCGAAAAGUAGCCCAGAUCGCCCGAAAAAAUUUAGAGCGGGCACAUGGAAAACAAUAUAGCUGAAAAUAGAGAUAAACAUUUUCUUGCUCGUUAUUUAUCCAUUUUUCAUUCAUUAAAAGAGUUUAAACUUCAAUUAGCAUCAAGUAGCGAGGUAAGCUUUUUGAUAUUUUUGUUUCCGAAUGUUCGAUGAUACGAUCAACACUGCUUCUCUGUGGAUUUACAGCUCAGUCUGCAAUUUUUGUGAACAAAAUAUUAGAAUAGAAAACUGAUUAUCAAUUAUGAUUUUUGAACUUACAUGGGUAACAUUUUAUGAAAUCUGUUUUGCAGAUGUUCUUUGAAAAAUACAUAAUUUUUGUUUUUACAUUUAUAUUAUAUAUUUGGCCGAUUUCCCACUCGUUUCGCAAGACAAACCAGAUCUCAAAGUCAUGUGAUAAAAGUGAACCGGGUCGUCGCCCGGAUUUUUUAAAGAAGUGCGCCCAUGAUGGACGAAUGCGUGUAUGGCGACAACCUAGAACGAAAUUCCAUUCCAUGAUGGAUCAGUUGUGCGAGGCUGUGCUUCUUGCUACUGUAAGCUGGAUUUUAUCGACCUUAAUGUACAAAAUUACCAUACAGACAUUCUUGCUGCAGUCAUGUUGGCUCAUUUUAACCACCACCUUCUUCGGCCAAGACCAAUGUUUAUGGAUGAUAAUGCCAAACCUCAAUGUGCCGUAUUCAAGAUCACGUGACUUUCCAAAAGGAAUUUCGAAAGUAAACAAUGUAACAAGGGAAUUUAUUGGCGACGUGAAAGCGUGGACUAUUUGCGGGACACAUUCAGCUAUAAAAGACAGUCAGAUGGAAAAGUAAGGGAACCACUUUAAGCAAUGAAGGGGUUAAAUGUCAUGUUUCACACGCAAUCACCAUUCAGUACGACUACAUGAUGUUUUUAAUAUUUUUCUCGCGGGCUUGCGCACAUCCACCAUAAACGUCAUUCCGAAGAAAAUCACCGCUUUCCCCUUACAUUGAGUAGACCAGUUCUCCUUUCAUACCUGUAUAUAAUUUGUCGAAAUUGUCAAAUCGUAUUGUUUUUCCUACUUUAUCAUACUGACAAUUUAGUUCUGGUUUUUAACAUCGAAAAAUUACUGUUUAACUUAAAUACGGCACAUACAUGUAUACCUUAAAAGUUUUGAUUAUGAUUUUAUAUUGUUAAACUCGAGAAUAUUUCACUCAUAUAGAGACGUCACCAUUGCCGGAGAAGGGCUGCAAAAUUUAGGUCUAUGCUCGGCGCAUACGGCCUUUGAGCAGCGAGGAAUCUUUAUCGUGUUACAACUCUCAUCCGAAGGAUCGCCACAUUUAGACGCCUCGUGCGACAAGCUGAGGACCUAAUCGAACCUGGAUCCCCACGGGAUUUAAGGUUUUGAAGCUAGUGAAUGUUUUAUAAACAUGUGAUUGGUUGCUAUUGAUAUGCAUAUGCGUUCCGGUGUAGAAAUGCUAACCUAAAUCGACUAUGUACCCCAUUCUUCAUUGGCUUGUCAAAAUGGGUAAUUAAACCAUUUAAAACUCG